Molecule: ribosomal RNA, 580 nt
Filed under: uncultured bacterium
Lineage: Bacteria
Description: partial 16S ribosomal RNA
Rfam family: Bacterial small subunit ribosomal RNA
Source: RNAcentral
UGGGGAAUAUUGCACAAUGGGCGCAAGCCUGAUGCAGCCAUGCCGCGUGUGUGAAGAAGGCCUUCGGGUUGUAAAGCACUUUCAGCGAGGAGGAAGGUGGUGAGCUUAAUACGCUCAUCAAUUGACGUUACUCGCAGAAGAAGCACCGGCUAACUCCGUGCCAGCAGCCGCGGUAAUACGGAGGGUGCAAGCGUUAAUCGGAAUUACUGGGCGUAAAGCGCACGCAGGCGGUUUGUUAAGUCAGAUGUGAAAUCCCCGGGCUCAACCUGGGAACUGCAUUUGAAACUGGCAAGCUAGAGUCUCGUAGAGGGGGGUAGAAUUCCAGGUGUAGCGGUGAAAUGCGUAGAGAUCUGGAGGAAUACCGGUGGCGAAGGCGGCCCCCUGGACGAAGACUGACGCUCAGGUGCGAAAGCGUGGGGCAGCAAACAGGAUUAGAUACCCUGGUAGUCCACGCUGUAAACGAUGUCGAUUUGGAGGUUGUGCCCUUGAGGCGUGGCUUCCGGAGCUAACGCGUUAAAUCGACCGCCUGGGGAGUACGGCCGCAAGGUUAAAACUUAAAGGAAUUGACGGGGUCUAGCUG